RNAcentral lists this ribosomal RNA (405 nucleotides) under uncultured cyanobacterium. RNAcentral's name for it is "bacterial SSU rRNA". It matches the Rfam family "Bacterial small subunit ribosomal RNA", at positions 355 to 774 of the family's 1533-position model. The record is from RNAcentral. Lineage: Bacteria; Bacillati; Cyanobacteriota.
UGGGGAAUUUUCCGCAAUGGGCGCAAGCCUGACGGAGCAAUACCGCGUGAGGGAGGAAGGCUCUUGGGUCGUAAACCUCUUUUCUCAGGGAAGAACACAAUGACGGUACCUGAGGAAUCAGCAUCGGCUAACUCCGUGCCAGCAGCCGCGGUAAUACGGAGGAUGCAAGCGUUAUCCGGAAUGAUUGGGCGUAAAGCGUCCGUAGGUGGUUUUGUAAGUCUGUGGUUAAAGCGUGUAGCUCAACUACAUAUCAGCCAUGGAAACUACAAGACUUGAGUGAAGUAGGGGUAGAGGGAAUUCCCAGUGUAGCGGUGAAAUGCGUAGAGAUUGGGAAGAACACCGGUGGCGAAAGCGCUCUACUGGACUUAUACUGACACUGAGGGACGAAAGCUAGGGGAGCGAAAG